CGAAAGCCUGACGGAGCAACGCCGCGUGAGGGAUGAAGGCCUCUGGGCUGUAAACCUCUUUUCUCAAGGAAGAAGAUCUGACGGUACUUGAGGAAUAAGCCACGGCUAAUUCCGUGCCAGCAGCCGCGGUAAUACGGGAGUGGCAAGCGUUAUCCGGAAUUAUUGGGCGUAAAGCGUCCGCAGGCGGUUCUGUAAGUCUGCCGUUAAAGCGUGGAGCUUAACUCCAUUUCGGCGGUGGAAACUGCAGGACUUGAGUGUGGUAGGGGCAGAGGGAAUUCCCGGUGUAGCGGUGAAAUGCGUAGAUAUCGGGAAGAACACCAGUGGCGAAGGCGCUCUGCUGGGCCAUAACUGACGCUCAUGGACGAAAGCCAGGGGAGCG
RNAcentral lists this ribosomal RNA (379 nucleotides) under uncultured cyanobacterium. RNAcentral describes it as "bacterial SSU rRNA". It matches the Rfam family "Bacterial small subunit ribosomal RNA", at positions 376 to 770 of the family's 1533-position model. The record is from RNAcentral. Lineage: Bacteria; Bacillati; Cyanobacteriota.